GCUACGGGGAGCAGGGAGGAAGUGGGUGCUGCUUCUGUGUUAUCUGGAAGGAGCAGCCCACUCCUGUCCUGGGCUCUUUGGU
Molecule: microRNA precursor, 82 nt
Organism: Aotus nancymaae (Ma's night monkey)
Lineage: Eukaryota; Metazoa; Chordata; Mammalia; Primates; Aotidae
Source: Ensembl